UGGGGAAUCUUGGACAAUGGGCGCAAGCCUGAUCCAGCCAUGCCGCGUGGAUGAUGAAGGCCUUAGGGUUGUAAAAUCCUUUCGUUGGGGACGAUAAUGACGGUACCCAAAGAAGAAGCUCCGGCUAACUUCGUGCCAGCAGCCGCGGUAAUACAGAGGGUGCGAGCGUUAAUCGGAAUUACUGGGCGUAAAGCGCACGUAGGUGGCGACGUAAGUCGGGUGUGAAAUCCCCGGGCUCAACCUGGGAACCGCAUUCGAGACUGUGUUGCUGGAGUACGGAAGAGGAGGGCGGAAUUCCCGGUGUAGCGGUGAAAUGCGUAGAUAUCGGGAGGAACAUCAGUGGCGAAGGCGGCCCUCUGGUCCAGUACUGACACUCAAGUGCGAAAGCGUGGGGAGCAAACAGGAUUAGAUACCCACGUAGUCCCUGAGCGGGCUGGCAAGGCGCAU
This 447-nucleotide ribosomal RNA is filed under the name uncultured bacterium. RNAcentral describes it as "bacterial SSU rRNA". It matches the Rfam family "Bacterial small subunit ribosomal RNA", at positions 355 to 825 of the family's 1533-position model. The record is from RNAcentral.